Molecule: ribosomal RNA, 400 nt
Filed under: uncultured bacterium
Lineage: Bacteria
Description: bacterial SSU rRNA
Rfam family: Bacterial small subunit ribosomal RNA
Source: RNAcentral
UGGGGAAUAUUGGACAAUGGGCGAAAGCCUGAUCCAGCAAUGCCGCGUGAGUGAUGAAGGCCUUAGGGUUGUAAAGCUCUUUUACCCGGGAUGAUAAUGACAGUACCGGGAGAAUAAGCCCCGGCUAACUCCGUGCCAGCAGCCGCGGUAAUACGGGGGGGGCAAGCGUUGUUCGGAAUUACUGGGCGUAAAGGGCUCGUAGGCGGCCAACUAAGUCGGACGUGAAAUCCCUCGGCUCAACCGGGGAACUGCGUCCGAUACUGGAUGGCUCGAGUUCGGGAGAGGGAUGCGGAAUUCCAGGUGUAGCGGUGAAAUGCGUAGAUAUCUGGAGGAACACCGGUGGCGAAGGCGGCAUCCUGGACCGAUACUGACGCUGAGGAGCGAAAGCCAGGGGAGCAAA